RNAcentral lists this transfer RNA (76 nucleotides) under Hydrocarboniphaga effusa AP103. Its description in RNAcentral is "tRNA-Gly". It matches the Rfam family "tRNA". Rfam says of the family: Transfer RNA (tRNA) molecules are approximately 80 nucleotides in length. The record is from RNAcentral. Lineage: Bacteria; Pseudomonadati; Pseudomonadota; Gammaproteobacteria; Nevskiales; Nevskiaceae. RNAcentral also lists the same sequence under 4 other names.
GCGGGAAUAGCUCAGUUGGUAGAGCGCAACCUUGCCAAGGUUGAGGUCGCGGGUUCGAAUCCCGUUUCCCGCUCCA